AGAAUCAACGCUGGCGGCGUGCCUAACACAUGCAAGUCGAACGAGAAAGUGGAGCAAUCCAUGAGUACAGUGGCGACCGGGUGAGUAACACGUGACUACCUACCCUUGAGUGGGGGAUAACCUCGGGAAACCGAGGCUAAUACCGCAUAAUAUCGAGAGAUCAAAGGAGCAAUUCGCUUUUGGAGGGGGUCGCGGCUGAUUAGCUAGUUGGCGGGGUAAUGGCCCACCAAGGCGAAGAUCGGUA
This 244-nucleotide ribosomal RNA is filed under the name uncultured bacterium. RNAcentral describes it as "partial small subunit ribosomal RNA". It matches the Rfam family "Bacterial small subunit ribosomal RNA", at positions 26 to 285 of the family's 1533-position model. The record is from RNAcentral.